UAUCUCCUUUGGGGCUGAGAGUCCAGAGGUCUCUGGAAGCUUAUUUAUUUCACUGGCAACAUGCUCCUCUGUCAGUUUUUUAUUUGGUGGUGCAGUUCAUUCUUUAUUCCAGUAGGUGUCACUUAAGAGUAAGAGCCAGCUUUCCCUUAGGUAACCCAGUAAGGAGUGGAGGCUUCCACCCUAACGGGGAGUGAUGGGGAAAGAGAUGGCCUUGGGAUGGGCUGAGGUCUUGAGGGAAGGGGCACCAGCUCCUCAUCCUGCAUGCCUUAUUUAUUAAGAACCCAAUUAGCAUCUGAGAAUUGUUGCCACGAGUCAGGUGACCAGAUGCCUUAAGAAUAUCUGUUCUCUUACCUUGCUGCUUCUUCCAUUUGGGCUUUACCUCUUCUUUCCCACUCCUCCAUCCACGGUGGAAAAAAAGAAAAAGAAAGAAAGAAAGAAGGAAGGAAGGAAGGAAGGAAGGAAGGAAGGAAGGAAGGAAGGAAGGAAGGAAGGAAGGAAGAAAGAAAGAAAGAAAGAAAGAAAGUGAAAGAAAGAAAGGAAAGAAAGAAAAAGAAAAGAAAAGAGGCGCCAUGAGCUUGUCACCUUCUCUAAUGGAGGAAGAGGUCAAUGGCGAACAUUUUCUACACUUUAAUGGCAGCAUAACAAAGAAGACAUCUAAGGAAUUUUACUCAUCAGUGUGGAGUAAUGGGCAGGCGUAUUGAAAUGGUCUCUGGAGUAAUGAGCAGGCAUAUUGAAAUGGUUGCCUUUGGACCCUCCACAUACCCCACCCUGUAAACAUACAAACCCCAAGUUCCACUGGCAGAGAAGCAGAGUAGCAUGGCAGAGAAGGAGAGAAGAGAAGAAGCAUAUGAAUAUUGAAAGGAGAAGAGGCAACUUAACACCAGAGACUACAGUCAGAAAGGAGUUCCUCCAGGGAUGGUCAGAGAAGAUUUCGUCCAGGGAUGGCUGAACUCCAGGGGAAGAUUAUCUUCCCACUCCAUCCCCUUUCCAGCUCCCCAACCUGCUGAGAGCCACUUCCACAGCUCAAUAAAUCUCUGCAUUCACCAUCUUUCAGGUUCAUGUGACCUGAUUCUUCCUGGAUGCUAGACAAGAACCCGGUUACCAGAGGGCAUGGAGUGAAAGGAUGUCACCCUAGCCCUCCACUCAACUGGUUAACACUUAGCUGUCCAUAGACAGAAAAUGCUAAAAAGCAUUGUUUGUAACACUUGCCUUCUGGGGCUUCAGAGGUCAUGUGCAACCCCUGGAUGCUGCCACAGGCUGGUACAAGGUAUGUUUCUGCUGUCGCCCGAAGGCAUUCGCCCCAGCUCCUCCACCUGCUCAACUGUAUGCUCACCCUUCCACAAGGGGUUUGAGCCACCGCUGUCUCAAGUCCCUCAAGGGCGUCAAGGGAACUCUCACAUCUCAGAUUCUAAAUUAAUACCACUCAACAGAAAAUUUCAACAAUAUAGGAUUCAUCUACCAUGAAGCAUGUAUCUGUAAUGAAUAUGAAAUAGUUGAGAUUGCCUGAGUGGCCACUUUCUCACAUGCUUCCAAAAAAUUUUGUAUGCUUUUAAACUUCAAAAUAAUUAUGAUGCUACUUCCUCAUUUUUCUAGCAAAUUCUUGGAUGAUAUUUAUGUCCUUUUACAUUUGAAAGUUAUAACCACAGACUUGAGAUAAACGAAUAAGAUAGUGCAUCUAGUUGUAAGCCUAUAUAAAAGUACAUUAUAAACGACAGGGAAGAUAUUUGAGUAGAUAAGGGCAAGCCUGGAAAGAAGGACAUUUAAGCUUUCAUCCCAAUUUGACCAUCAAUUAUAGAGACAUACGCAACUUUGAAAUUGCUUUCCUUGAUAGUGAAAUAAUAGAUACACUGCAAAUGUCUAUAUAUUUGACAUAUUAUUUAAUUUAUAAAAUAUCUUUUGAUAUCUUUGAAACUGAUCAUUAAAAUAUGAAGUUGUAACUCAAAUGUUGUAAUUUUCUUUCACUUUAAUAUAUACUGUCUUGUUCCAGACACUGUGUUUGUUAUAAAAGUCUUUAUUAUACAAUUGUUAAAUAAUUACUUUUAUAAAUGGUCUCUCAUUUAUUCCUGAAAUGCAGGUAUUUUUCUCCUUUUUGUAUUAUUGACGAGGAGACUAGGGCUUAGAGUCAGACUAGUUACUGUUGUGGGUUGAAUUGUGACCUCAAAGAGAUACAUUGAAAUCUUAAUCUCUGGUACCUGUGAAUUGAAACUUAUUUGAAAGUAGGACCUUUGAAGAUGUGAUCAUAUAAGAAUGUGGUUAUUCUGGAUUCUUUUGGGCUCUGAUCCAAUACCACCAAGGUCCUUAUAAGAAGUGAAGAAGCACAGAUACACACACAUGAGCGCGCACACACACACACACACGAGUCUACUAUGUGAAGAUGGAGCCAAAGAUUGGAGUGAUGAGCCUACAAGUAAAGGGACAUUAAGGAUUUCCAACAACUACCAGAAACUAGGAAGGAGACAUGAAACUGAUUCUCCCUCAGGGCCUUCAGAAGGAGCUGACACAGCUAACACUUUGAUUUCAGACUUUAGUCUCCAG
Molecule: long non-coding RNA, 2535 nt
Filed under: Homo sapiens (human)
Lineage: Eukaryota; Metazoa; Chordata; Mammalia; Primates; Hominidae
Description: HSALNT0139052
Source: RNAcentral